AUUGAACGCUGGCGGCAGGCCUAACACAUGCAAGUCGAGCGAGCGGCGGACGGGUGAGUAAUGUCUGGGAAACUGCCUGAUGGCGGGGGAUAACUACUGGAAACGGUAGCUACUACCGCAUACCAUCAGAUGUGCCCAGAUGGGAUUAGCUAGUCGGUGGGGUAACGGCUCACAUAGGCGACGAUCCCUAGCUGGUCUGAGAGGAUGACCAGCCACACGGGAACUGAGAAACGGUCCAGAUUCCUACGGGAGGCAGCGUGGGGGAAUAUUGCACAAUGGUCGAAAGCCUGAGGCAGCCAUGUCGCGUGGAUGAAGAAGGCCUUCGGGUUGUAAAGUACUUUAAGCGGGGAGGCGUUACCCGAAGAAGAAGCACCGGCUAACUCCGUGCCAGCAGCCGCGGUAAUUC
Molecule: ribosomal RNA, 406 nt
Filed under: uncultured bacterium
Lineage: Bacteria
Description: partial 16S ribosomal RNA
Rfam family: Bacterial small subunit ribosomal RNA
Source: RNAcentral